AAAAAAUAUAUAAUCAUUGGCACUUGACACUAAUCAAUGACUUUUGAAUAUAGAUACAGUCCAACCAAGCCACCAGCUAUUGCAUGAUAUGGGAAUAUCUAAAGUCGUGGAGCUGCUUUCCAAAGUGCUGGAAGAAAAUAAAUUGAUGAAAGCGGAAAUUACCAACCUGGGGAGUGAAGUGAGGGCGCUUAGGAGAGAGAUGGUGAGGCCGGUAGCACCAGAAGCUGCCGCUUCGUCCAUCAAGCUGCCUCUGAGGACAAUGGAGGAGUUUCAAUUAGCAGAGGCUGUUAUGAGAGAAACCCCCUGCGAAAAACAAAAGAUGAUCUUAACAUUCAGUCUAAUUGGAGGGCACACUGCAGAAGAGCCCGUAAGAAGGAUGUUGCAGAGUGGCCUAACAAAUAACCUGGCGUGUCGCUUCAACUGGGCAGGGAAAGGCUUCAAGGAAGCCUUUAAAAGCACUGUCCUUAGUGAUGUACUGUUCGCUGCACUCCAAUAA
This 496-nucleotide long non-coding RNA is filed under the name Gadus morhua (Atlantic cod). Its description in RNAcentral is "lncRNA (ENSGMOG00000022652.1)". Lineage: Eukaryota; Metazoa; Chordata; Actinopteri; Gadiformes; Gadidae. The record is from RNAcentral.